CGCCCUUAGAGUUUGAUCAUGGCUCAGAUUGAACGCUGGCGGCAGGCCUAACACAUGCAAGUCGGACGGUAAGAGAGCUUGCUCUCGACGAGUGGCGGACGGGUGAGUAAUGUCUGGGAAACUGCCCGAUGGAGGGGGAUAACUACUGGAAACGGUAGCUAAUACCGCAUAACGUCGCAAGACCAAAGUGGUUCGUCACACCAUCGGAUGUGCCCAGAUGGGAUUAGCUAGUAGGUGGGGUAACGGCUCACCUAGGCGACGAUCCCUAGCUGGUCUGAGAGGAUGACCAGCCACACUGGAACUGAGACACGGUCCAGACUCCUACGGGAGGCAGCAGUGGGGAAUAUUGCACAAUGGGCGCAAGCCUGAUGCAGCCAUGCCGCGUGUAUGAAGAAGGCCUUCGGGUUGUAAAGUACUUU
RNAcentral lists this ribosomal RNA (419 nucleotides) under uncultured Pantoea sp. RNAcentral's name for it is "bacterial SSU rRNA". It matches the Rfam family "Bacterial small subunit ribosomal RNA", at positions 1 to 436 of the family's 1533-position model. The record is from RNAcentral. Lineage: Bacteria; Pseudomonadati; Pseudomonadota; Gammaproteobacteria; Enterobacterales; Erwiniaceae.